CGCGUAGGUAAUGCAGAGGUGAACCCUAUCCAAGUAAAUACCACGUAUCAAAUCUGGAGCCCUGUCAGCCGGAGCAAUGCCGGGCUUUUAGAGAGGGUUUCAAACACAGACAGAGUGGCCUGCAGUGGAAGUUUUAACACGGGGGAAAACAUUUAUUGGACAACCAACGAUAAGACGAAGAUAAACUGCCACAAGUGUUUUGCCUUCGUAUUCAACCACGCAGGAGAACAAUACGCAUUGAAAGGAAAUAAAGAACGAAGAACAAUCACAACCGAAGUUAAGGAAAAUAUUCAUGACGAGAGCGACAUUUUUCAGGUUAUAUCCAUCGAGGGAGGGAUCUUCUCGUUGAUAAAACUCUAUGGUAGCAAACUCUACUUGGCAUGCGACCAAGAUGGCAAUGUAACUUUAGUUGAAGAUAAGUAUCCGGAGAAUCCCAGCCCUCAAAUUCUUUUCAGCUUUGGCAAAGUAGGUGUAGUCAGUGACAACUGAAGUUUCAUGGCUGUUUUCUCUGUUGAGUCAGCUUCUAUGGACGAAGCUAUGGACGGUUUUCUUAAUUCCAGCAUUGUAAGGCUUAGAGAUAUAUAUUGUGUAACAGGUAGAUAUCUGACAUAAGGAACCUUAAGCAGUCAGGACGGCAACGCCAAGGAAGACUUUGAUUAAAAUAUAAAUUUCUACCCGUAAUUAGAAUUUCAAAAAUGGCUGCGUGUGUUUACCGUCUCAUACCGCGCCACACCUCAACUUCAGCAUAACGUAUCAAAUAUUAAAGAAGCGUUGAGUUCCAAAUAGAAAUUAAAAUAAUUUGCCGUUGCGGUUUCGGUUCGCAGACGACGCAAAUUGUGGUGAUUUCACGUUGUUGUUUUGUAUAGGACGGCUCAGAAAUGUACAAACGCACGUGCUGAGCUGUAUCUUUUGUUUUCCAUGUCCUCGUUGCCGUCGCCGUCGUGGUUUGCAGAAGGUGAACCGCCACUGCAUGUUUUUUGGCCUUGAUUGGUUUUAUUUUUCAUUAUUGUCUUUAUGGUAUACUCAUACUCAUUAUAGAAUUGAUAUUAUUAUGUAUUCAACUCACUAUCUCUUUUCUAAUUGGCCGAAAGUGUUCAAUGAAUUUUCGAAAUCAGCGCCUAGGACGUCAUCUACCUGCAGAUUUUACAAUAGGGACCUUAAGCAGUCAGGACGGCAACGCCAGUGAAGACUUCAAUUAAAAAAUGAAUUUCUGCCGUUAAUUAGAAUUUAAAAAAAAACUGAAUGUGUUCACCGUCUCAUACGGCGCCACACCUCAACUUCAGCAUAACGUAUAAAAGAAGCGUUGAGUCCCAAAUGGAAAUUAAAAUAUGUACCGUCGCGGUUUCGGUUUGCAGACGACGCAAUUUGUGAUGAUUUCACGUUGUUGUUUUGCAUGGGACGGCUAUGAAAUGUACAAAAUUUUCAAACGCGCGUGCUGAGCUAUUGUUUUGUUAAUUAAAUCUAUUGUUUUUCCAUGUCCUCGUUGCCGUCGCCGUCGUGGUUUGCUUAAGGUCCCUAAUAACAUGUCAAGGUCACUCAAGGUCAUGGGUAAUCAUGUCAUGUAAGACCGCGGUGCGUGAUUUCGAAGGGCAGUCAUAUCAACUUCGCGCGCUUUGAGUUGCUAGCCGUCAGUGGAAAAGCAAAAACAUGACUUUCAGGUUUGCUUUUUUGACCGAGCAUGACUUCGAAAAAAUAGUAGUAUUUCGCUUUUUAUAACUGUAGAGUUCUCUUCAGUUAAACUUAAUUAUGGCUAUUUAUUUUCUAAACCAGCUUUUAUUCAAUUUUUCACAUAUUGUCUAAAGCUUAGAAUUUCUUGUCAGUCGAAUUAUAU
Pocillopora verrucosa is the source of this 1831-nucleotide non-coding RNA. NCBI's taxonomy places the organism in Eukaryota, Metazoa, Cnidaria, Anthozoa, Scleractinia, Pocilloporidae. The record is from RefSeq and is a predicted model, not a curated record.